CUUCAACUCUACAAUUUGUUUUGUAUUAUUUAUUGACUGUUGUGGAUAAUGAUAUUGUUAUCAUUUGUAUAUUUUUAAAUAUAAAAUUAUCAAGUUGUUAUACUUAAUUUUCUAUAUCUACUCUUGUUUUAAUCUCUUCACAUCUAAUAAGGAAAAUCACUUUUUCAAUUUCUAUACAUUGACAACUUCAAUUUACUUUUGAAUUUGAUAUCUUCUGCUCUUUAAGUUGAAUGACUGUUUUAGUAAGAAAAGCAGGCUGCUUGCCCUGGUACAAUGCAAGUCAUCAAAUGUGUACAUUUUACUUUAGAUGAUCAAUGAAAUGUUAUGUACAUACUUUAGACGGAAGAUAAGAUAUUCAAGAAUGUAAAAUUGUUUAUUAUUAUAAUAUAGAAACUGUUAAUAUAUAUUGUAAAAUUUGAAUUUCUAUCAUGAAAUUAUGCUAUCAGGAAAGACUCCUUUUGUCAAAGAUGAGAUUCCAAUGCAGCAGUGCUAUUUAGAUUUUGUUGUUAUAGACUUUACUAUUCCUGUAUUUAUUUCCCUGUUCUUGGUUGACAUGGAAUUUAGGUUGUAAAUAUUGAAAUAAUUCAUAAUGGGUAAAUAUUUCUUAAUUUUAUGAUUUUGUUUCUUGAACUAGUGGGAACAAAUACUAUUCAGGUUGGCAUUUCUUGAAGGAAAUGACUAUAGCCUGUGUCAGUGUUUUCUCAUCAAAGUUCUUGACCUUUUCACUCCACUGUCCUUUUGAAAAUAAGACUGUCAGCUGUUGCUUUUCAUCUGUUUGUGUAAUUGGUGGCAUGUUCUUUAUCAUUGUAACUAGUUCAAUAAUGCCUUCUUUUGUGAAAAGUGAAAUGAGCAUAGUAAUUUUUUCCCUCCAUAUUUGGGUACAAGACUCAAAGGUGAAAUAGUUUCAUGCAGUUGGCCAG
This 920-nucleotide unclassified non-coding RNA is filed under the name Hevea brasiliensis (rubber tree). The record is from RNAcentral. Lineage: Eukaryota; Viridiplantae; Streptophyta; Magnoliopsida; Malpighiales; Euphorbiaceae.